This 500-nucleotide ribosomal RNA is filed under the name uncultured bacterium. RNAcentral describes it as "partial 16S ribosomal RNA". It matches the Rfam family "Bacterial small subunit ribosomal RNA", at positions 30 to 523 of the family's 1533-position model. The record is from RNAcentral.
AUUGAACGCUGGCGGCAGGCCUAACACAUGCAAGUCGAGCGGAUGACGGGAGCUUGCUCCUUGAUUCAGCGGCGGACGGGUGAGUAAUGCCUAGGAAUCUGCCUGGUAGUGGGGGACAACGUUUCGAAAGGAACGCUAAUACCGCAUACGUCCUACGGGAGAAAGCAGGGGACCUUCGGGCCUUGCGCUAUCAGAUGAGCCUAGGUCGGAUUAGCUAGUAGGUGAGGUAAUGGCUCACCUAGGCGACGAUCCGUAACUGGUCUGAGAGGAUGAUCAGUCACACUGGAACGGAGACACGGGCCAGACUUCUACGGGAGGCAGCAGUGGGGAAUAUUGGACAAUGGGCGAAAGCCUGAUCCAGCCAUGCCGCGUGUGUGAAGAAGGUCUUCGGAUUGUAAAGCACUUUAAGUUGGGAGGAAGGGCAGUAAGUUAAUACCUUGCUGUUUUGACGUUACCGACAGAAUAAGCACCGGCUAACUCUGUGCCAGCCGCCGCCGUAA